Molecule: transfer RNA, 67 nt
Filed under: Darevskia unisexualis
Lineage: Eukaryota; Metazoa; Chordata; Lepidosauria; Squamata; Lacertidae
Description: tRNA-Lys
Source: RNAcentral
CACUAAGAAGCUAACACACAGCACUAGCCUUUUAAGCUAGAGAGGGAAACUCGUCUUCCCUUAGUGG